RNAcentral lists this long non-coding RNA (277 nucleotides) under Capsicum annuum. RNAcentral's name for it is "long non-coding RNA (CANN_LNC014202)". The record is from RNAcentral. Lineage: Eukaryota; Viridiplantae; Streptophyta; Magnoliopsida; Solanales; Solanaceae.
GAAAUCGAAAACCUCAUCUAUGUCAAUCCUUCUACUGUCCUUCCAGCACGCCCGCCUUCUCCUCCUCGUGCUGCCAUUCCUGUUUCAUCUUCUCCCUUCAUGCCUUCCAAUCUCCGCCCACAACCUCCUACUACGACUACGACGACAACCACCAACCACAAACCACCGACACCUGUCCCUUCCAUUCCAUCUCCGCCUCCGCUACCUUUAUCGGGACAGUCGAUUAUAGCCGCAACCGGUUUUGGAUCUCCGCCCAAUACCCUUACGGAGCCGGUUU